Molecule: ribosomal RNA, 531 nt
Filed under: uncultured fungus
Lineage: Eukaryota; Fungi
Description: eukaryotic LSU rRNA
Rfam family: Eukaryotic large subunit ribosomal RNA
Source: RNAcentral
GGAGUCCGCGUUGUAAUUUGUAGAGGAUGAUUCGGAGAGGGCUCCCGCCUAAGUCCCCUGGAACGGGGCGUCAUAGAGGGUGAGAAUCCCGUAUGCGGUGGGUUGCCUUAGCCAUGUGAAUCUCCUUCGACGAGUCGAGUUGUUUGGGAAUGCAGCUCUAAAUGGGAGGUAAAUUUCUUCUAAAGCUAAAUACCGGCCAGAGACCGAUAGCGCACAAGUAGAGUGAUCGAAAGAUGAAAAGCACCUUGGAAAGAGAGUUAAAAAGUACGUGAAAUUGUUGAAAGGGAAGCGCUUGCAGCCAGACUUGUCCGCAGUUGCUCAACCGGUCUCCUGACCGGUGUACUCUUCUGCGGCCAGGCCAGCAUCAGUUCGGGCGGUCGGAUAAAGGCCCUGGGAAUGUAGCUCCUCUCGGGGAGUGUUAUAGCCCAGGGUGGAAUGCGGCCAGCCUGGACUGAGGAUCUCGCUUCGGCUAGGCUGCUGGCGUAAUGGCUGUAAGCGGCCCGUCUUGAAACACGGACCAAGGAGUCUAAC